This is a long non-coding RNA of Homo sapiens (human), 956 nucleotides long. RefSeq lists it as uncharacterized. The transcript has 5 exons. NCBI's taxonomy places the organism in Eukaryota, Metazoa, Chordata, Mammalia, Primates, Hominidae. The record is from RefSeq and is a predicted model, not a curated record.
UGCAGACAGACCAAAGGUGAUGAUCCCACAUCAGCAACAAGAGUCAGGAGGAAGUCUUCAGAAGCAGGAAUGCAUAGAUCCAAGAAAGAUCAUAUGUGAAGCACCAGUCUAUGCUCUGUAUCUCGCCUUCCACUUUUCAAGGCAUCACUCUGAUGAAGAUCUCCUCCUUCAGCUGUGCUCUCCAUGGCCUCUGAACAUAUAACAUAGUCCUAGCUCACCCAAAUGAAACAAACAGGUAGGGAGGAAAACAAGGACAGAAACCAGGAGGCCCAGCCCAGGAUUAAAAACACACCACAGCCUUUCCAAAAAGUCAGAGUCAUACAUGGAUCACUUGGAAAUAACUGAACUUGCAAAUCCAGUUUCCCAUGGACCUGCUGAGUUUAUGAGGAAAAGGUGGCUGUGGCCAUUACCAAGUUAUUAAAACCACAGAGAUCUUGACUUGUAUGGACUGAGAUGAGGCUUCCAUCAGCAUCUCGCAUAAAUAACAUAACACUGAUGCAGCAGAUGAACAUGGAAUCAGUGACAUCCACAAGAAGACAAUAGGCUUGGAGGAGAAACAGACCUUGACUUCAAGACACAACGCAGAGGGAAAUAUCGCUGAUACAAAGCUUGAAGAUGAUCAUCUAUGUACCCAUCGGGACAUUUUUAAAGGGACAAGUGGAAUGAGCGAAGACUUUGAAGACAGUCUUGUCUGCCAGGCACUCAGAUCAUCAGGAAGCAGAAAAGGAGAUGCAAGAUCAGGUUGAGAGGUAUUUUGUGCAGGAAUACACAUUCAGUGUUAUAAUGUAAUUGAAAAAGAGUCUAUUUCAGAGGCAUCAGCUUCACAGCCACCAUGGUUUAACCUCACCUGUGGUGUGAGAUGGACAGUGGGUAUGGGUGGCCCCUCCUAUGGGUGGGAAGCACAGUGAUGUGUUGGGCACCUGAGCAGGGCUGCCAAGAUUUUCUAAAGCAUUCUG